UACGGGAGGCAGCAGUGGGGAAUAUUGCACAAUGGGCGCAAGCCUGAUGCAGCCAUGCCGCGUGUAUGAAAAAGGCCUUCGGGUUGUAAAGUACUUUCAGUCGUGAGGAAGGUGUUAAGGUUAAUAACCUUAGCAAUUGACGUUAGCGACAGAAGAAGCACCGGCUAACUCCGUGCCAGCAGCCGCGGUAAUACGGAGGGUGCGAGCGUUAAUCGGAAUUACUGGGCGUAAAGGGCACGCAGGCGGUUAAUUAAGUUGGAUGUGAAAUCCCCGGGCUUAACCUGGGAAUGGCAUUCAAGACUGGUUAGCUAGAGUCUUGUAGAGGGGGUAGAAUUCCAUGUGUAGCGGUGAAAUGCGUAGAGAUGUGGAGGAAUACCGGUGGCGAAGGCGGCCCCUGGACAAAGACUGACGCUCAUGUGCGAAAGCUGGGGAGCGAAACAGGGAUUAGAUACC
RNAcentral lists this ribosomal RNA (453 nucleotides) under uncultured bacterium. Its description in RNAcentral is "bacterial SSU rRNA". It matches the Rfam family "Bacterial small subunit ribosomal RNA", at positions 340 to 786 of the family's 1533-position model. The record is from RNAcentral.